This 171-nucleotide non-coding RNA is filed under the name Erythrobacteraceae bacterium CFH 75059. RNAcentral describes it as "6S / SsrS RNA". It matches the Rfam family "6S / SsrS RNA". Rfam says of the family: E. coli 6S RNA was the first non coding RNA to be sequenced, but its function was unknown until recently. It consists of 184 nucleotides that fold into an extended hairpin structure with a large single-stranded internal bulge. The 6S RNA specifically associates with RNA polymerase holoenzyme containing the sigma70 specificity factor. Lineage: Bacteria; Pseudomonadati; Pseudomonadota; Alphaproteobacteria; Sphingomonadales; Erythrobacteraceae. The record is from Rfam by way of RNAcentral.
GCGGGACUGCCCGGCACGAGCCGCAAGCGAACAUCCCUGAGGCUAUAAGCAAUCCUUGGGAGCUGUCCCUGUCCGGAGAAUCGGGUUCGUCCCGGCGAUCUGGAUACACGGCGCCCACCUGACGUUGAGGCGUCAGAGGAUUUCCCGGCAACGACCCAUGGUGGUUCCGCC